CAAAAAUUAGACUGCAAAGGUCAUAUAGAAAUGUGAACGUGCUAUGAUAAGUUUUGUUGACUGAUAGUUAUGAACAAAAGUUUGGUUAUAAGUGUUAUGGAAAGUUGUGAUGAAAUUAUGUAUAAAACUAUAUAGAAACUAUAAAUUAAAUGUUAUAUAAAAAGUUAUGGUGAUAAAUUGUCCUAUAAAAUUUGUAUAAAAGUUGUAAAUAUAACUUUGUAAAUUUCUUUAAAUAUAAAGUUAUAAAAACAACUUUUUUUCCAAAAAUUACAUGUCUCA
Molecule: long non-coding RNA, 279 nt
Filed under: Sorghum bicolor (sorghum)
Lineage: Eukaryota; Viridiplantae; Streptophyta; Magnoliopsida; Poales; Poaceae
Description: long non-coding RNA (SBIC_LNC002168)
Source: RNAcentral